CUAGAGGAAGUAAAAGUCGUAACAAGGUUUCCGUAGGUGAACCUGCGGAAGGAUCAUUAUUGAAAUAAACCUGAUGGGUUGUUGCUGGCUCUCUAGGGAGCAUGUGCACGCCUUGUCAUCUUUAUAUCUCCACCUGUGCACCUUUUGUAGACCUUUCGGGGUCUAUGUUGCUUCAUUUUUCCACAAUGUAUGUUAAUAGAAUGUUGUGCCCUGUAUAAUAUAUACAACUUUCAGCAACGGAUCUCUUGGCUCUCGCAUCGAUGAAGAACGCAGCGAAAUGCGAUAAGUAAUGUGAAUUGCAGAAUUCAGUGAAUCAUCGAAUCUUUGAACGCACCUUGCGCUCCUUGGUAUUCCGAGGAGCAUGCCUGUUUGAGUGUCAUUAAUAUACAUAUAUCAAGCCUUCUCUUGUAGAAGGGUUUGGAUGUGGGGGUUUGCUGGCCUCUUAAUCUUAAGAGUUCAGCUCUCCUGAAAUGCAUUAGCAGAACAACCUUAUGUUCAUUGGUGUGAUAACUAUCUACGCUAUUGAAUGUUGAGGGGCAAGUUCAGCUUUCUAACGGUCCUUGGACAAACUCAUCAUUAAUGUGACCUCAAAUCAGGUAGGACUACCCGCUGAACUUAAGCAUAUCAAUAAGCGGAGGAAAAGAAACUAACAAGGAUUCCCCUAGUAACUGCGAGUGAAGCGGGAAAAGCUCAAAUUUAAAAUCUGGCGGUUUUUUUGGCCGUCCGAGUUGUAAUCUAGAGAAGUGUUAUCCGCGCUGGACCGUGUACAAGUCUCCUG
Molecule: ribosomal RNA, 778 nt
Filed under: Cortinarius saniosus
Lineage: Eukaryota; Fungi; Basidiomycota; Agaricomycetes; Agaricales; Cortinariaceae
Description: eukaryotic LSU rRNA
Rfam family: 5.8S ribosomal RNA (bases 226-379)
Source: RNAcentral